UAGCCAUGUUAUUGUGUAGCUAUUGGUUUUAUGAACUCCUUCAGUCCUUUGUUUUUUUUUUAAUGUAAUUAUUAUUUAUGACGUGUUAUUUGUGACUGUUUGUACUUAAAAUUGCAUUUUGUUGGUUUGGUUUGUACUUUUUGAUUCCGCCACAAAGGUUCCUACUUGAGUGUUGUAGGUGUGGCAGCAGUCAGCGUCGCAAUUUUUUUUUUUGCGCCAAUUCCUGUCAGAAUCCACUUGGAUUUGGCGCUGUGUAAGCUGAGGAGAGGCUGUACGUCGCCGACUGCUCCGUUCAUUUUAGGUAGGUUAUGUAUUAUGUUCGAGAGGUAUUAUUGUUUAACAUUUUGUUUUGACUGUAAGUUAGCCAUUUGGUUGUAAGUUAAUAGGGAAGUUUUGUGUUUAUAUUUCAUUCUGUAUAGAUAUAAAAAAGAAUUUAUUACUCUUUCUGUCACACCUGUGUUGCGCGAUGUAAAAUUCCUGUCAGAAUCCACUUGGAUUUGGCGCUGUGUAAGCUGAGGAGAGGCUGUACGUCGCUGACUUCUCCGUUCAUUUUAGGGAAAUAAAUUACGACUUCCACAA
Non-coding RNA from Paramormyrops kingsleyae, 579 nucleotides. The record is from RefSeq and is a predicted model, not a curated record. Lineage: Eukaryota; Metazoa; Chordata; Actinopteri; Osteoglossiformes; Mormyridae.